AACGGUCUAUACCUGCGGUACCUGCGGAAGGAUCAUUACCGAGUUUACAACUCCCAAACCCCUGUGAACAUACCACUUGUUGCCUCGGCGGAUCAGCCCGCUCCCGGUAAAACGGGACGGCCCGCCAGAGGACCCCUAAACUCUGUUUCUAUAUGUAACUUCUGAGUAAAACCAUAAAUAAAUCAAAACUUUCAACAAUGGAUCUCU
Molecule: unclassified non-coding RNA, 207 nt
Filed under: soil metagenome
Description: partial contains 5.8S ribosomal RNA, internal transcribed spacer 2, and large subunit ribosomal RNA
Source: RNAcentral